CCUACGGGUGGCAGCAGUGGGGAAUAUUGGGCAAUGGGCGCAAGCCUGACCCAGCAACGCCGCGUGAAGGAAGAAGGCUUUCGGGUUGUAAACUUCUUUUGUCAGGGACGAAGCAAGUGACGGUACCUGACGAAUAAGCCACGGCUAACUACGUGCAAGCAGCCGCGGUAAUACGUAGGUGGCAAGCGUUAUCCGGAUUUACUGGGUGUAAAGGGCGUGUAGGCGGGGAAGCAAGUCAGAUGUGAAAACCACGGGCUCAACCUGUGGCCUGCAUUUGAAACUGUUUUUCUUGAGUGCUGGAGAGGCAAUCGGAAUUCCGUGUGUAGCGGUGAAAUGCGUAGAUAUAUGGAAGAACACCAGUGGCGAAGGCGGCUGUCUGGUCUGCAACUGACGCUGAGGCUCGAAAGCAUGGGUAGCGAACAGGAUUAGAUACCCUUGUAGUC
This 443-nucleotide ribosomal RNA is filed under the name uncultured bacterium. RNAcentral describes it as "partial 16S ribosomal RNA". It matches the Rfam family "Bacterial small subunit ribosomal RNA", at positions 338 to 795 of the family's 1533-position model. The record is from RNAcentral.